CGUUGUGCUAGAGGUUUUGAAGAGUCAGACUUUGGCCUCAAGUCUCCUGCCUGAGAGCUGUGUAAACCUAGAGCCUUGUCUCACAGAUCCCCUGUUCCCACAGCAGUUAAAGUGGAGAUGACAGAGUCCCUCCUGGAGAGCCGGUAUAGCCAUUCAGUGAGUCAGCAGCACAUCUCCUCCAGCACGCAGAGAACAGCGGUCCAUGGAGGGAGGGCGUGAGCCUGGGGUUAUACUGAGGAAGGGUAGUGGGCUUUUCAGUUCCUGAAGCUGCUGCUCUGCCUACUCAGGAAGGUGAGGAAGGCAGAUGGCAGCGUACUUCCAGCCUCUGCUCUGCCAGGGUCGUUGAUGCCCUUUGGAAUGGAGAGCUGUGAAGGGGAAUGCCUAGGCCUCACGGAGGAGGCUCGUGACCUGGACAGGUGUGGGACUGGGGGCCAUGUCUGCAGCUCCCCUGCCACGGAGCAGAAUCUGCCUCUCCAUAAGCGUAAGCUCUGGGGACUGUGACAUCCACGCUGGGCCUGGCUCCUGCCUCCCGCCUCCUGCCCAGCCCCUGCCAGCCGCACAUGGUGGAGACCGG
This 574-nucleotide long non-coding RNA is filed under the name Pongo abelii (Sumatran orangutan). RNAcentral describes it as "lincRNA". The record is from RNAcentral. Lineage: Eukaryota; Metazoa; Chordata; Mammalia; Primates; Hominidae.